RNAcentral lists this transfer RNA (82 nucleotides) under Gadus morhua (Atlantic cod). RNAcentral describes it as "tRNA-Ser (AGA) (tRNA-Ser-AGA-16-1)". It matches the Rfam family "tRNA". From Rfam's summary of the family: Transfer RNA (tRNA) molecules are approximately 80 nucleotides in length. Their secondary structure includes four short double-helical elements and three loops (D, anti-codon, and T loops). Lineage: Eukaryota; Metazoa; Chordata; Actinopteri; Gadiformes; Gadidae. The record is from Rfam by way of RNAcentral.
GUUGUUGUGGCCGAGUGGUAAAGGCGAUGGACUAGAAUUCCAUUGGGGUCUCCCCGCGCUGGUUCGAAUCCUGCUGACAAUG